This 477-nucleotide ribosomal RNA is filed under the name uncultured bacterium. RNAcentral's name for it is "partial 16S ribosomal RNA". It matches the Rfam family "Bacterial small subunit ribosomal RNA", at positions 28 to 507 of the family's 1533-position model. The record is from RNAcentral.
GAUUAACGCUGGCGGCGUGCAUAACACAUGCAAGUCGAACGAUGAAACUUAAAUGAUUUCUUCGGAAUGAACUUAAGUGGCUUAGUGGCGGACGGGUGAGUAACGCGUGAGUAACCUGCCUUACACAAGGGGAUAGCCGUUGGAAACGACGAAUAAUACCCUAUGAUGUUUCUAUCUCGCAUGAGAUAUUAACCAAAGUGUUAGCGGUGUAAGAUGGACUUGCGUCUGAUUAGCUAGUUGGUGAGAAAAAAGCCCACCAAGGCAACGAUCAGUAGCCGGCUUGAGAGAGUGUACGGCCACAUUGGGACUGAGACACGGCCCAGACUCCUACGGGAGGCAGCAGUGGGGAAUUUUGCACAAUGGGGGAAACCCUGAUGCAGCGACGCCGCGUGAUUUAGAAGGCCUUCGGGUUGUAAAAAUCUUUUGUAUAGGAAGAAAAUGACAGUACUAUACGAAUAAGGUCCGGCUAAUUACGUG